RNAcentral lists this ribosomal RNA (253 nucleotides) under uncultured bacterium. Its description in RNAcentral is "partial 16S ribosomal RNA". It matches the Rfam family "Bacterial small subunit ribosomal RNA", at positions 524 to 776 of the family's 1533-position model. The record is from RNAcentral.
UACAGAGGGGGCAAGCGUUGUUCGGAAUUACUGGGCGUAAAGGGCGCGUAGGCGGCCUGUUAAGUCGGACGUGAAAUCCCUCGGCUCAACCGGGGAACUGCGUCCGAUACUGGCGGGCUUGAAUUCGGGAGAGGGAUGUGGAAUUCCAGGUGUAGCGGUGAAAUGCGUAGAUAUCAAGUGGAACACCAGUGGCGAAGGCGAGUCCCUGGACAACUCCUGACACUGAGGCACGAAAGCUAGGGGAGCAAACAGG